CGGGAAUAAGCUUAGGAUUCCCGGCAGUUUGGCAGUGUUAAUAGCCUUUUCUUUGGCCGGAAUUGGCGGUUAGUGAAUC
The submitters of this non-coding RNA (79 nucleotides) gave its source as unclassified sequences. The record is from Rfam.